This 277-nucleotide long non-coding RNA is filed under the name Nilaparvata lugens (brown planthopper). Its description in RNAcentral is "uncharacterized LOC120349847". The record is from RNAcentral. Lineage: Eukaryota; Metazoa; Arthropoda; Insecta; Hemiptera; Delphacidae.
AAUUUUUGUUAUCUCUAUCCGUUGAAUGAUUGAAAGGUGCAGUGUGGAACAUCAAGUCUACUUCCAGUGCCCCAAAUGAAGAAAUCCAUAUAAUAAUCCAAAAUUGGUUUUGAUUCUCCAAAGACCAUGAUGGAGGUCGAGAAAAACGGAGAAAUGAUCCAGCACCCAAUCACAUGUAACUAGGCCAAGUGCCAAUAAGUAAAUUUUUAGAGAAUCUCAAACAUCCAUAAUCUUUUUUGUAAUAAUUUUACAAUAUACAAACUUUUCAUGCAUUUAA